This 456-nucleotide ribosomal RNA is filed under the name uncultured bacterium. Its description in RNAcentral is "bacterial SSU rRNA". It matches the Rfam family "Bacterial small subunit ribosomal RNA", at positions 33 to 507 of the family's 1533-position model. The record is from RNAcentral.
GACGACGCUGGCGGCGUGCUUAACACAUGCAAGUUGAACGGAGUAUGUUGGAAGGGUAACCGGAAGACAUAUUUAGUGGCGAACGGGUGAGUAAUGCAUGAGAACGUAUCCUCAAGAGGGGGACAACAUUGGGAAACCGAUGCUAAUACCCCAUAAGCCGGGAGGUAAAAGGAGCAAUCCGCUUGAGGAGCGGUUCAUGUCCUAUCAGCUAGUUGGUGAGGUAACGGCUCACCAAGGCGAAGACGGGUAGCCGGCCUGAGAGGGUGAACGGCCACACUGGAACUGAGAGACGGUCCAGACUCCUACGGGAGGCAGCAGUGGGGAAUAUUGGGCAAUGGGGGAAACCCUGACCCAGCGACGCCGCGUGAGGGAAGAAGGCCUUAGGGUCGUAAACCUCUGUUGUGUGGGAAGAAGAGCGUGACGGUACCACACGAGGAAGUCCCGGCUAACUACGUG